CCUACGGGGGGCAGCAGUGGGGAAUAUUGGGCAAUGGGCGCAAGCCUGACCCAGCAACGCCGCGUGAAGGAAGAAGGCCCUCGGGUUGUAAACUUCUUUUAUCAGGGACGAAGCAAGUGACGGUAACUUAUGAAUAAGGAUCGGCUAACUACGUGCCAGCAGCCGCGGUCAUACGUGGGGGCCGAGCAUUAUCCGGAGUGACUGGGUGUAAAGAGGUGCGUAGGUGGCAUAAUGAGUAGCUAGUGAAAUCUGGUGGCUCAACCAUUCAGACUAUUAGCUAAACUGGUAAGCUGGAGAACGUUAGGGGUAACUGGAAUUUGUAGUGUAGGAGUGAAAUCCGUAGAUAUUA
This 349-nucleotide ribosomal RNA is filed under the name uncultured bacterium. Its description in RNAcentral is "partial 16S ribosomal RNA". It matches the Rfam family "Bacterial small subunit ribosomal RNA", at positions 338 to 699 of the family's 1533-position model. The record is from RNAcentral.